Non-coding RNA from Dipodomys ordii (Ord's kangaroo rat), 700 nucleotides. The record is from Rfam. NCBI's taxonomy places the organism in Eukaryota, Metazoa, Chordata, Mammalia, Rodentia, Heteromyidae.
AGGUCAUACGAAAGACCCAAGUUAAUAUUCUACCGGCGUAAAGAGUGCUUAAAUAUUUAUCAAAUAGAGCUAAGACUAGUCUUCGCUGUAAAAAGCCAAAGCCAAAGUAAAAAUCAAUAACGAAAGUAACUCUAAUUUUUGUAGCACUAAAGCUAUUACCUAAACUGGGAUUAGAUACCCCACUAUAAUUAGCCAUAAACAUAAGUAGUUCAUAACAUUACUACUCGCCAGAGAACUACAAGCCACCGCUUAAAACUCAAAGGACUUGGCGGUGCUUUAUAUCCACCUAGAGGAGCCUGUUCCAUAACCGAUGAUCCCCGAUUUACCUCACCACUCCUUGCUAAUUCAGCCUAUAUACCGCCAUCUUCAGUUAACCCUAAAAAGGAAAUAAAGUAAGCCUAAUCAGUAUUACUAAAGAAGUUAGGUCAAGGUGUAGCCCAUGGAGUGGAGCGAAAUGGGCUACAUUUUCUAUUACUAGAACAUUACGAAACUCUACGUGAAAUCCGUAGAAUAAAGGAGGAUUUAGUAGUAAAUUAAAACUAGAGUGUUUAAUUGAAUAGAGCAAUGAAGCACGCACACACCGCCCGUCACCCUCCUCAAUUUCUCAACAAUUAAAAGUACAUAACACCUAAUUACAAAAGAUUGAGAGGAGACAAGUCGUAACAAGGUAAGUGUACUGGAAAGUGCACUUGGAAAAAUC